CAGCAUUCUAGAUAAGCUGGAGCAUCUUGGAUAAGUUGGCUGUCUUGGGCAAUCAGAUUUAUCAUCAACAUCAUCUUAGCAAAGUUGGCUGUCAGGAUGUUUGGCUGUUGGUCAUGGGUGACCUGCAGGAGGAGAUGCUAAAAUGGUUCCUGCUGCAACAUGUGGAUGCAUUAUUUAAAAACAAAGAAAGGAUUUGUUUUCCCUUUCAGAAACUUUAGCCCUAUUCUGAAGUUAAUAAAAAAGAGGCUUUACAAGCCUCCCAAAGUACACUGGAAGUCCCGCCCCCAGCAUCUCACUCACUCACUCUCACACACCCCUUGCUGCUCAUGAUUACAGUGUUUGAAGAGUGAUGCUGCAAGCAUGAUGGCAUCAUCUCUGAAGAUGCAGGAAACCUUCCCAGUGUUGCAGGUCAUGUUGCCUGUGCCCAGAAGACUCUUAUGUUGACACUACACAAUAGUAUCCUUGUGUAACCUUGAUGAAGUAAAGCCUUUUUGUUUAUGUGUGA
This is a long non-coding RNA of Hemicordylus capensis (graceful crag lizard), 505 nucleotides long. RefSeq lists it as uncharacterized. The record is from RefSeq and is a predicted model, not a curated record. NCBI's taxonomy places the organism in Eukaryota, Metazoa, Chordata, Lepidosauria, Squamata, Cordylidae. The transcript has 2 exons.